RNAcentral lists this transfer-messenger RNA (358 nucleotides) under Nitrospinaceae. Its description in RNAcentral is "LS-NOB sp009873635 Standard tmRNA". It matches the Rfam family "transfer-messenger RNA". Rfam says of the family: Bacterial tmRNA, also known as 10Sa RNA or SsrA, is named for its dual tRNA and mRNA-like properties. Lineage: Bacteria; Pseudomonadati; Nitrospinota; Nitrospinia; Nitrospinales. RNAcentral also lists the same sequence under 1 other name. The record is from RNAcentral.
GGGGGCGAUCUGGUUUCGACGGGAGAGCUGAUACAAAGGUUGCAUGCACGGGACGCCGUUGGCCCGUUAAAAAACGGCUUUUACAUAAUCGCCAACGAUUAUGAUGUAGCUGUAGCCGCUUAAUUUAACCGGUUACCGUCCGCCGUAUCCAUGUUCGCGGGAUACGGGUCGGACGUCACUCAGCGGACUGGUUUGGAUCGCAUGUUCCGGGCGAGCCAAAUGAGAUUUUCAGGAACUGGCUUAGGCCAAAUCUUGCCUUUGGAGUUUGCCUAAGUAAGACUCAAAUCAAAGGAUAAGCAUGUAGACGCCUUUGCUUGAAACCUUUCGGACGGGGGUUCGAUUCCCCCCGCCUCCACCA